This 3991-nucleotide long non-coding RNA is filed under the name Mytilus galloprovincialis (Mediterranean mussel). The record is from RNAcentral. Lineage: Eukaryota; Metazoa; Mollusca; Bivalvia; Mytilida; Mytilidae.
UAUAUAUAUAUAUAUAUAUAUAUAUAUAUAUAUAUAAUGUUGAAAUUUCUGAAGGUUGUUUGCUUGUUUCAUUCCCUGGAAGUUACACUAAAUAAUAGUUGAAACUUUGUACCCUUUGAUAAUUGGAAACAUUGAUGAUGCUGAAUUUAUAUUCGGUUAAAUUAACAAGAAAACACCCUUGACGUUAUUAAUACAAUUUAACUGUUAUGGUAAUGCCGAUCUUUAUAUUUUCUGAUAAUGAAAUUGUAAACGUAAUCCUGAUCUCUUUAAUCCUCUGUGAUAAUACUGGUACUUUUGAUCUCAGGUUCAAACUACUAAUAUCUUAAAUGUAUAUCUUAAAAUGAUCCACAGUAUAACAUGCUUCUGGUUUCUCUGUGAACAUUGUAUUCUUCCACCAUUAGAACUCCAAUGUUAAAUGAUCCACAGUGUAAUAUGCUUCUGGUUUCUCUGUGAACAUUGUAUUCUUCCACCUUUAGAACUCCAAUGUUAAAUGAUCCACAGUGUAACAUGCUUCUGGUUUCUCUGUGAACAUUGUAUUCUUCCACCUUUAGAACUCUUAAGUGAAAAUGUGUGAUUCCUAACUAAUCAGUUCAAUGAUUUUGUUCAGUUUUUCAAAAAUUCAACUUUUAUUUUGUUUUAACUUCAGUAGGUUUUUUGCCAUUUCUUUUUUGUCUGUGUUUAUUGUAUAUAUGAUUGCUUCAUUGUUGUAAAUAGACAUUAAUCCAGGGUUUGUUAUUUGAUUAUAUAAUGCUGAUAUUUGUUUGAAAGCUGUCAUUCUUUUUAUUCUUCUGAUACUUUUGUGAGCAUUUACGAUUUGGCAUAAAGCUGUGCUUUUCUGUAUAUGCCAGUACCAAAGUGGCAUUAUUCAGUUGGGAUUAAAAUGUCCCCAGUUGUUGUUCAGAAGUCAUGCUCACUGUUAAAGGCUGCCAUUAUUUUAUUUAUAAGUUAAUUCCUAGAGAAUAUGCAAACCAUAAUGUGGAUGAUUCUAUUUCAGAAUUCAUUGUUUGAAAAUAUUUUUGGCUUCAUGUGUGACAUAAAUGUUAAAAUGAAUUAAUGGAUUUGUUCAUCACAUUUAUUUAUGAUUUUAUUUUUCAAGUAAACUUUAAUGAGGAAUGAUUGUUAUGUAAAUACAAUGUAAAUAAUGACAGGUGACUGGUUUUAUAGUGUAAGUAUCAUGUAAUAUUUAGUUCUACCAUAUAUAUCAUUUUUUUCUUCCAUUUCUCCAAAAUCAAUGGAAAUAAACCUUGCUCAUAUGUAGCAUAACAAAUCCAGAAAUUUCACUAAUCUUCAAUGUAAUUUUUUGAUAACUUUAGAAAUUUACUUGCAGCUUGUCUUAUUUGGUCUGUGAAUAAUAAUAUGAAUACUGCAAGGCUAUUUGCAAUUUUCACGUCCCUUAAUUACUUAACUUUGAAAAUUCAUCUAUAGAUUACAAACAGUUGUUGCUUUUCCUCCUUUAAACACUUCUUUUCUUUUUACACCCACCUUUUAAUCAUACAUUAAGACAACAUAUGGUUUCGCUAUGACAUUAGAUCUAAGAUUUGAUAUAACAAGUCAACACAUGAGCUUUAUUUCACAAUGUAUGAAUCUUAUAUUAAAAUGUUCACUUGUCCAGGUUUGAUUAUUUGUUUAUAUUUAUGAAUUUGAUAAAAUUCUAAUUUUGUUUCAUUUUUGCUUUCCAUGUAGCUUAUUGACAUGACUUUUGCUUGUAUUUUUUUUUUUAAUAUUUAUUUAGCUUUAAAACUUGAUUAAAAUUGCUUGUAUCUUUUUUUAAAUAUUUAAUUAGCUUUAAAACCUGAUAACCUGUGAAACAAAAUGAUUUUAUCACAUUUUAAUAUAUAAGAUUAUUUUACUUUAUAUUUUGCAUAAUAUAAACGGUGAUCAAAGUUUACUCAUAUAUUUAGUUACUAUGAAUCCUACUUUAAAAGCUUUACUCCUGUGAUCAAAAGUUGUAUAGUUUUUGUGAAGUUUGCUCAAAAUAAGAUCAGUAUCUUUGCAUAUCAAACAUUUUAUAAACAGAAGAUAUACAUUUAUAACAUAUAGUGUAGCUCCAAAGGUGUCAAAAAUAUUGCAUAUUGUUAAAAUGAGUUCUGAGUAAUAUAUAGCUAAAUCUUACUGAAUUCCUUUUUACUUAUACCAGUUUACUGUAUUAUAAUUUUUAUUUGGCUAGUAAUUAUUAAAUGAGCAAUUUAAAAAUAAGAUGAAUUCAAGAUCUGUAAAAUGUAACAAUCUUGAGACAGACUCACAACAUCCCUGUCUGGAUAAAUAUUUCCCACAUAAAAGUGUCAAUGAUAUUGACCUUUUUUAUUUUAAAUAGAAAGAAGGGGGAAAUUCUAUACUAUGGCCCGUUAUUUACUAGAUUUAUCAGUACCAGUUCCUAUGGUAUUUGAUAUUUUGAGUACCAAAGUUGCCUGAGUAUACCAUUGUUGAUCUUAAUUCAGAACUAAUCUUCUGUUAGUUAAAGUACAUUAUUUUUACAUGUCAAGUUUUGAACAGUAUUGUUCUGAAAAGAGUGCAUUGAGCUGAAUCUCUUGCUAUAUAUAACUGCUUUGUGUUGAAUCUCUUGCUUUAUAUUAUAUGUUUUAUUGUAUUUUUUUGCUACUGUGCCUUUAUUUUGUGUCAUGUAUGACAUUGUUAUUUUGAAUUGAUCAAGUGCUCACUCCUUAGUGUCUUGUGUACAUACCAUAGUGCUCACAUUUCUAUUAUUGGUUUACAGUCCUAGUGCUAAACACAAAUUUAUAAAUUUAUUUGCCGAAUGUUCAAGUGCUACCUUUUUACAUAAUCUUUAAAAUAAGAUUUUAUGGUUCAAUCCUUAAAAAAUAGGUUGAACCUUAAUUUUGUCUCUGAUACCUUCUUUGGGAAAGAAAAAGAAUUAAAAAAGUAAGAUACAGACAAAAUAAAUUAUGUUUAAUAUCUAUGAAGCACUAUUUUCCUGACAUUGACCAAAUGAAUACUUCCUCAAGCAGACAAGCUGGAUCCUAGCUAAUAGUUUCAACUAAUCACUUAUUCCAAAAGCUAUGUUGUUUAUGCAUUUAUUAGAUGUUUAUUUAGAAUACCAAUCACAGCUAUUUUCUUUAUAAAUUCAUAGUCAAGGGGCAUUUCUGUUUAAAGGCUGAAUAUUUUUUUAUCACCAUGUUUUUAUUUUUUUAUCAUAUGUUUAUGCUUUACAACAGUUGUACAACAUUUCCCCAUAAAACAAUCAUUUGAAAGUUAAAGGCUGAUACAUUUAUUUCUUAAAGAUUUUCCACUGACUAAUAAAACUGUAUAAAGAAAAUUUCUUGACAAAUAUUUCCAAAAUUAAAAGUUGAAUAUUAUUCUUGACUGAUUAGUUAAAUUCCUUACAUGUAACAAAAUCACAGGUUUUAGUUGCUAACUUUUUGUAACCAUCAACAAUUAUUUGAAUAUCUAUUAUUUAUAAGUAGUAAAGUUAAUAUUAGGGUUAGAUUUGUGAGUGAAUUUUUUUUUGCAUACUUUGAAUGUUAUAAGUAUAUGGUAUACAUUUUAUUUAAUCAAAUUCUUUGUUUCUUUGUUUUAUUUUUUAUUCAGUGUGGUUAUAAAUUUGACUUUGUUGUAUAAAAGUGGUAAACAUGUACAGAGUAAUUACCUGUUGUCAAUGCUUAACUGAUUUACUUUUGAAAUACUUAUUUUUUCCAAUACAGCCUUUGGCAGCUAUUUUAUUGCACAAAUCAUAUUUUCCUUGCUUUUAAAUAAAUGAAAUUGAUGAACAAACAAUGAAUUGCCACAAAGUGUUUCAUUUUAAUAAAGAAUUUGCUUGAAAUUGUUUUUUUGUUGUUCUUACAUGAAUUAGGUUGGAAAGAAGGGGUACCAAUAAAAUCACGUUGGAAAGAAGGGGUACCAAGAAAAUCAUGUUGGAAAGAAGGGGUACCAAUAAAAUCAACCAAUCUGCAGUCUUAUAUAAACAGAGUAUAUCUUUUAUAUAUUUGUACAUUGCCUGGUAUAUAUUUGAUUUGGGGCAAGCUGAAGCAGGUCUCUG